This is a long non-coding RNA of Raphanus sativus (radish), 914 nucleotides long. RefSeq lists it as uncharacterized. The record is from RefSeq and is a predicted model, not a curated record. NCBI's taxonomy places the organism in Eukaryota, Viridiplantae, Streptophyta, Magnoliopsida, Brassicales, Brassicaceae. The transcript has 3 exons.
AUUAUUGGCGAAAUUUAAAUCAUAAAUGCUUAAAAACGGAACAAACGUAUGUUAAAUAAGAAGUGUUUUAUAGCGUCCCUUAAGGGCACGUGUCACUAUAUGAAAAAUCAAAACUUUUCGGUUUUUCUCUCCUUCUCUCCUUCUCUUCGUCUCCCUUCCUCCAUUGCCAAGCCUUCAUCAUCUUUUCUUUCUCUUCUUCGCCUUCAUCUUCUCCUUCUCUUCUUCGCCUGAGUUCACUCCUUACAGACGGAAUCGCACAGAGCUCGAAUGAUAACACGGAGUCGUACGGCUCGGAAUUGCUUCGUCGGCCGCAUCUUCACCCUCUCUGCUCGUUCUCUGUCACCAUCCUCAAUCUCAGGUCGAGUGGGGUAACUAAAGCUCUAAAGGCUGAGUGAUGUGGUUGUCAUCACUCUCGUAGUGUUUCUUCCUUUAACAAGAGCUUAAAGCUUAGAAAGAGACCAAGCAAACAAAAGGUUACUAAGGAACAGAGUUUCAGCACAUCAAGCAAGAGAGAGGAAGAAAGCUUACUUGGGUGAGUUGGAAAACAGAGUGAAAGACUUGGAGAAUAGAAACUCUGAACUUGAAGAUAGACUCUCUACUUUGCAGAACGAGAACCAGAUGCUUAGACAGAUUUUGAAGAACACAACAGGAAACAAGAGAGGAGGCGGUGGUUCUAACGCUGAUGCAAACCCUUGUUACCUGGUUUGCUUACUGGUUAACUUGCAGGAGAUUAUCUCGCAUUCAACAAGCAGAUCACUUGUGUUUAGGGAUGGCAAUUGGGCUCUCCCGUCCCGUCCCGAACCGCUGCGGGUUCGGCUUCUGGCGGUACACGGCGGGUCUGUCCCGCGCGGGAUGCGGUCUUCAAACUAGCUACCCAAUCCCGUACCGCGAAAUAUGUAGGCCUUCGCGGGCCG